Sinocyclocheilus grahami is the source of this 229-nucleotide long non-coding RNA. RefSeq lists it as uncharacterized. The record is from RefSeq and is a predicted model, not a curated record. The transcript has 3 exons. NCBI's taxonomy places the organism in Eukaryota, Metazoa, Chordata, Actinopteri, Cypriniformes, Cyprinidae.
GAAGAUCAUCAAACAGGCCAAACACAUCUUCCUGAGGAGCAGGGCGGCGCGGACCAUCGACAGUCUGGCCAGUCGUAUAGAGGACCCUCAGAUCCAGGCUCACUGGUCCAACAUCAACUCUGUGUAUGAGUCCAGCGUCAAAGUGCUCAUCACCUCGCAGGGAUACGAGCAGAUCUGCAAGUCCAUCCAGCUGCAGCUGAACAUCGGUGUGGAGCAGAUCAGGGUUGUG